This 812-nucleotide ribosomal RNA is filed under the name Bacillus tequilensis. Its description in RNAcentral is "bacterial SSU rRNA". It matches the Rfam family "Bacterial small subunit ribosomal RNA", at positions 55 to 849 of the family's 1533-position model. The record is from RNAcentral. Lineage: Bacteria; Bacillati; Bacillota; Bacilli; Caryophanales; Bacillaceae.
AUGCAGUCGAGCGGACAGAUGGGAGCUUGCUCCCUGAUGUUAGCGGCGGACGGGUGAGUAACACGUGGGUAACCUGCCUGUAAGACUGGGAUAACUCCGGGAAACCGGGGCUAAUACCGGAUGGUUGUUUGAACCGCAUGGUUCAAACAUAAAAGGUGGCUUCGGCUACCACUUACAGAUGGACCCGCGGCGCAUUAGCUAGUUGGUGAGGUAACGGCUCACCAAGGCAACGAUGCGUAGCCGACCUGAGAGGGUGAUCGGCCACACUGGGACUGAGACACGGCCCAGACUCCUACGGGAGGCAGCAGUAGGGAAUCUUCCGCAAUGGACGAAAGUCUGACGGAGCAACGCCGCGUGAGUGAUGAAGGUUUUCGGAUCGUAAAGCUCUGUUGUUAGGGAAGAACAAGUACCGUUCGAAUAGGGCGGUACCUUGACGGUACCUAACCAGAAAGCCACGGCUAACUACGUGCCAGCAGCCGCGGUAAUACGUAGGUGGCAAGCGUUGUCCGGAAUUAUUGGGCGUAAAGGGCUCGCAGGCGGUUUCUUAAGUCUGAUGUGAAAGCCCCCGGCUCAACCGGGGAGGGUCAUUGGAAACUGGGGAACUUGAGUGCAGAAGAGGAGAGUGGAAUUCCACGUGUAGCGGUGAAAUGCGUAGAGAUGUGGAGGAACACCAGUGGCGAAGGCGACUCUCUGGUCUGUAACUGACGCUGAGGAGCGAAAGCGUGGGGAGCGAACAGGAUUAGAUACCCUGGUAGUCCACGCCGUAAACGAUGAGUGCUAAGUGUUAGGGGGUUUCCGCCCCUUAGUGCUGC